This 65-nucleotide transfer RNA is filed under the name Junonia adulatrix. RNAcentral describes it as "tRNA-Cys". The record is from RNAcentral. Lineage: Eukaryota; Metazoa; Arthropoda; Insecta; Lepidoptera; Nymphalidae.
AGUCUUAUAUUCAAUUAUGAUAUGAAAUUGCAAAUUUUAAGGUGUAAAUAAAUAUACUAAGGCUU